UAGAAUUCCACGUGUAGCGGUGAAAUGCGUAGAGAUGUGGAGGAAUACCGGUGGCGAAGGCGGCCUUCUGGACAGAUACUGACGCUGAGAUGCGAAAGCGUGGGGAGCAAACAGGAUUAGAUACCCUGGUAGUCCACGCUGUAAACGAUGUCGAUUUGGAGUUUGUUGCCCUGAGUGAUGGGCUCCGAAGCUAACGCGAUAAAUCGACCGCCUGGGGAGUACGGCCGCAAGGUUAAAACUCAAAUGAAUUGACGGGGGCCCGCACAAGCGGUGGAGCAUGUGGUUUAAUUCGAUGCAACGCGAAGAACCUUACCUGGUCUUGACAUCCACAGAAUCUUGCAGAGAUGCGAGAGUGCCUUCGGGAACUGUGAGACAGGUGCUGCAUGGCUGUCGUCAGCUCGUGUUGUGAAAUGUUGGGUUAAGUCCCGCAACGAGCGCAACCCUUAUCCUUUGUUGCCAGCGAUUCGGUCGGGAACUCAAAGGAGACUGCCGUUGAUAAAGCGGAGGAAGGUGGGGACGACGUCAAGUCAUCAUGGCCCUUACGACCAGGGCUACACACGUGCUACAAUGGCGUAUACAAAGGGAGGCGACCUCGCGAGAGCAAGCGGACCUCAUAAAGUACGUCUAAGUCCGGAUUGGAGUCUGCAACUCGACUCCAUGAAGUCGGAAUCGCUAGUAAUCGUGAAUCAGAAUGU
RNAcentral lists this ribosomal RNA (695 nucleotides) under uncultured Gilliamella sp. RNAcentral describes it as "bacterial SSU rRNA". It matches the Rfam family "Bacterial small subunit ribosomal RNA", at positions 662 to 1357 of the family's 1533-position model. Lineage: Bacteria; Pseudomonadati; Pseudomonadota; Gammaproteobacteria; Orbales; Orbaceae. The record is from RNAcentral.